GAUGAACGCUGGCGGCGUGCCUAAUACAUGCAAGUCGAGCGACUGGAUUAAGAGCUUGCUCUUAUGAAGUUAGCGGCGGACGGGUGAGUAACACGUGGGUAACCUGCCCAUAAGACUGGGAUAACUACGGGAAACCGGGGCUAAUACCGGAUAACAUUUUGAACCGCAUGGUUCGAAAUUGAAAGGCGGCUCCGGCUGUCACUUAGGGUUGGUCUCGCGUCGCAUCAGCUAGUUGGUGAGGUAACGGCUCACCAAGGCAACGAUGCGUAGCCGACCUGAGAGGGUGAUCGGCCACACUGGGACUGAGACACGGCCCAGACUCCUACGGGAGGCAGCAGUAGGGAAUCUUCCGCAAUGGACGAAAGUCUGACGGAGCAACGCCGCGUGAGUGAUGAAGGCUUUCGGGUCGUAAAACUCUGUUGUUAGGGAGGAACAAGUGCUAGUUGAAUAAGCUGACACCUUGACGGUACCUAACCAGAAAGCCACGGCUAACUACGUGCCAGCCGCCGCAGUAA
Molecule: ribosomal RNA, 515 nt
Filed under: uncultured bacterium
Lineage: Bacteria
Description: partial 16S ribosomal RNA
Rfam family: Bacterial small subunit ribosomal RNA
Source: RNAcentral